RNAcentral lists this transfer RNA (68 nucleotides) under Oreolalax multipunctatus (dotted lazy toad). Its description in RNAcentral is "tRNA-Met". Lineage: Eukaryota; Metazoa; Chordata; Amphibia; Anura; Megophryidae. The record is from RNAcentral.
AGUAAAGUCAGCUAAUAAAGCUCUUGGGCUCAUGCCCCAAACAUGUGAAAUAAAAUUCACCUUUACUA